This 484-nucleotide ribosomal RNA is filed under the name uncultured bacterium. RNAcentral describes it as "partial 16S ribosomal RNA". It matches the Rfam family "Bacterial small subunit ribosomal RNA", at positions 28 to 523 of the family's 1533-position model. The record is from RNAcentral.
GAUGAACGCUGGCGGCGUGCCUAACACAUGCAAGUCGAACGGUGAAAGCGGAGCUUGCUCUGCUGGAUCAGUGGCGAACGGGUGAGUAACACGUGAGCAAUCUGCCCCUGACUCUGGGAUAAGCGCUGGAAACGGCGUCUAAUACCGGAUACGAGCUGCGAAGGCAUCUUCAGCAGCUGGAAAGAACUUCGGUCAGGGAUGAGCUCGCGGCCUAUCAGCUAGUUGGUGAGGUAACGGCUCACCAAGGCGUCGACGGGUAGCCGGCCUGAGAGGGUGACCGGCCACACUGGGACUGGGACACGGCCCAGACUCCUACGGGAGGCAGCAGGGGGGAAUAUUGCACAAUGGGCGAAAGCCUGAUGCAGCAACGCCGCGUGAGGGACGACGGCCUUCGGGUUGUAAACCUCUUUUAGCAGGGAAGAAGCGAAAGUGACGGUACCUGCAGAAAAGGCGCCGGCUAACUACGUGCCAGCAGCCGCAGUAA